ACUCCUACGGGAGGCAGCAGUGGGGAAUAUUGCACAAUGGGCGCAAGCCUGAUGCAGCCAUGCCGCGUGUGUGAAGAAGGCCUUCGGGUUGUAAAGCACUUUCUAGUUGUGAGGAAGGUGGUGUCGUUAAUAGCGGCAUCAUUUGACGUUAGCAACAGAAGAAGCACCGGCUAACUCCGUGCCAGCAGCCGCGGUAAUACGGAGGGUGCGAGCGUUAAUCGGAAUUACUGGGCGUAAAGCGCAUGCAGGUGGUUUGUUAAGUCAGAUGUGAAAGCCCGGGGCUCAACCUCGGAACUGCAUUUGAAACUGGCAGACUAGAGUACUGUAGAGGGGGGUAGAAUUUCAGGUGUAGCGGUGAAAUGCGUAGAGAUCUGAAGGAAUACCGGUGGCGAAGGCGGCCCCCUGGACAGAUACUGACACUCAGAUGCGAAAGCGUGGGGAGCAAACAGGAUUAGAUACCCUGGUAGCACAGAG
This 474-nucleotide ribosomal RNA is filed under the name uncultured bacterium. RNAcentral describes it as "bacterial SSU rRNA". It matches the Rfam family "Bacterial small subunit ribosomal RNA", at positions 335 to 799 of the family's 1533-position model. The record is from RNAcentral.